This 429-nucleotide ribosomal RNA is filed under the name uncultured bacterium. RNAcentral describes it as "bacterial SSU rRNA". It matches the Rfam family "Bacterial small subunit ribosomal RNA", at positions 355 to 776 of the family's 1533-position model. The record is from RNAcentral.
UGGGGAAUUUUUCGCAAUGGGCGCAAGCCUGACGAAGCAACGCCGCGUGGGGGAUGAAGGUCUUCGGAUUGUAAACCCCUGUCGACCGGGACGAAGGUACCCGACCUAACACGUCGGAGUAUUGACUGUACCGGUGGAGGAAGCCACGGCUAACUCUGUGCCAGCAGCCGCGGUAAUACAGAGGUGGCAAGCGUUGUUCGGAAUUACUGGGCGUAAAGGGCGCGUAGGCGGCCCGAUAAGUCCCGCGUGAAAUCCCCCGGCUCAACCGGGGAACUGCGCGGGAAACUGUCGAGCUUGAGUUCGGGAGAGGGAAGCGGAAUUCCGGGUGUAGCGGUGAAAUGCGCAGAUAUCCGGAGGAACACCGGUGGCGAAGGCGGCUUCCUGGACCGACACUGACGCUGAGGCGCGAAAGCUAGGGGAGCAAACGGG